UGUGGGAAGGGAAAAACCAGACGUGGAAGCUUAACAGUUUUUAAAGUUUUGCCAAAGUUUUGUAAUACAACAAGCCAAAAAUUGUAAGUCGUAACUAACGCAUCAGCCAAUUUGCUAAUAGUCGAAGACUAACGCUGGCUAGUAAAAACAGUCCUAAAUUAAUAGGCACCUACCUUAAGAGUCUGUUACAGACAAGUGGCUCUUGCAUAAAAAGCAAUGAUAUUAAGAAUAUGUAGGCCUUAUAUACUAGUUAAGUUCUAAUUAUAGAAACUAUAUCUAAAUUUACAAACCCAAUAAGAAAUAUCAACACAUAAGUUAAACCAA
This 324-nucleotide long non-coding RNA is filed under the name Mytilus galloprovincialis (Mediterranean mussel). Lineage: Eukaryota; Metazoa; Mollusca; Bivalvia; Mytilida; Mytilidae. The record is from RNAcentral.